UACGUGAGGGGCGAACGUUGUUCGGUGUCACUGGGCUUAAAGGGUGCGUAGGUGGUUGUGUAAGUAACGUGUGAAAUCCCUCGGCUUACCCGGGGAAUUGCGCGUUAUACUGCAUGGCUUGAGGAUUUCAGGGGAAAGGGGAACUCCAGGUGUAGCGGUGAAAUGCGCAGAUAUCUGGGGGAAGGCCGGCGGCGAAGGCGCCUUUCUGGGAAAUACCUGACACUGAGGCACGAAAGCGUGGGGAGCAAACAGG
Molecule: ribosomal RNA, 253 nt
Filed under: uncultured bacterium
Lineage: Bacteria
Description: partial 16S ribosomal RNA
Rfam family: Bacterial small subunit ribosomal RNA
Source: RNAcentral